UUCCAGUUUAUUCUGGACAAAAAGUGAUUAAUUUCUCUUUUUCCAGAGGCAGCAAGUGGGAGGAGUAGAUAAGGUGUCUGCCCACCUGUACUGUGCUAGAUCCUGCUACCUGCUGAGGUCUGGCUCCAGGAAUUACAUUUGGUCACAAAGUUCUGUAUUGCUUCUGAAAUGUGAAGACUGAAUCUGCUUUCAUUGCUGCAGCAAUCACACCUCUCCCAAUGAAACCAGGCUGAACAGGGUAAGCAUGCUGUCCUCAUCAGGCUCAAUCUGAAUAACUUUGCAGAAUUUGGUAUAUGGAACUAUUAUAUCGGCCUGACUGCUUACAGCUUGUGUGUGAGUUCUUAAGAAUUGGAGUGAAAGCUGGAGACUUGCACUUACUCUCCACAGUCUCUGUAAACUAUUUUUGAGUAUGGCUCCUGGAAUCUGCAAGUUAUAUUUAUUCACUGAGUAAUGAUGUUAGUAGUGCCAAUAGCAAUAGGAAGUCCACAGUAAGAGUUCUGAAAUUAUACAAAAAUAGUUGGGUUACAGCAAUAAAUAACAUCAUUUGUGCUUUUAAAAAAACAAAAGUUCUGAUUCAAUUUGGUUUGGAAUGCUAAAUGAGGCAAUAUGCUGCUUUCAGCUGUGCCUGUGCAUCCCUCCCUGUCACCAGCACCGUGGAUGUGCCCCUCGGAGAAAACCUGCCCUCGCCUCCAGCCACCGUGUUCCUUAACUAAUCGUAACAAAACUCAAGUAUUCAAGCCAUUCUGCUGGAAAUUCUCAACACAGAGCAAUGAACUAGUUUUUAUGCUCCUUCCCCAGCUGCUUACCGUCUAGGUAUUUGCUGCAUUGGAAAGAAUUUUACAGAGGAGAGAAGCAGGGAACCUUGGUAGCAGAGUCCAACAGGACUGACACAUUAAAGCACUGUUGAGCCAAUGCACUUGUUGAAUUCUACACUUUACUUCAAAAUUAUACAGAGCAAUAUACAAAAGUAAUGCAUUAAAUCAGUUUCAUUUGUGUAAUGGACCUUUAUGGAUUUUGAUUUCCAGUCACAGACCAUACACACAUCGACUGAUACCACAUUUUUGCCUUAGACAAUAAUCCUCUGCCUUUCACUUUAUAAGAGUUGAGAACUGGUUUAAUUCUAACCUUCAGUUUAAAAAUAGUCCUGUAUGCUUUUAUGAAAGGAUAUUAAAAGGUAAACUAAGUUGAAAGUAAAGCUAUAGUGGGGCUCUUUGCUUUGAGUCAAAGGUUUACAAAAUAAGGCGUUCAGAAUGUAGGUUACUCAGCAGUUUCAGGGGAGUUGUGUUUUCACACUUAACCCUUGCCCAGCAAAAUGCCGUAGCACAAGCAGCCAUUCCUCACAGCGCCUGAACUGUCUCCGGGAUGCCAGCGUGAAAAUGCAAUUUCCUCAUUUCUGUGAAUAAAGGGAUAGAAGUACACUCAUUCCUCAAUCUUCAGCUUGGUCCAAGUUGAUGAGACAAAUAUUGAUUUGAUGUACAACAUUUGAAAAACACGUUAUUUUUUUAUUUCGGAAAUUUUAAUUUUGAAGAGGUGGCUCUGAAGACAAUGAUGCAGUGAUUUCCUUCCCCCCCAGCAUUCCCAGUGCUAGCAGAAUUCCACACCAAUCAGCCAACUAUAUACGCUUACUCAGUCUGAGUGAGGGGAAAAACUAAACAAUUUCAAUUUCCAAGGCUGCUCACUUGGACUAUUUUAAAAACAACUCGGAGGCAGGGGCCUUCAGAAGUGUGGACUUGUUGAGGUUUGAGUGCUGUAUUCGGAAGAGAAUCAGCUUCUUGUUUUCUAAUAUUUUGAAAACGUAAUUGAAUUAGUGAGUCCUCAGUGCAAUAUUUUACAAAAUGCAAUUAUUUUUCUUAAAAACGAGAAUGACAUCUCAGUGGAACACUAGGUAAACGUGCAUUUAGCUGUACUAGUGAUUUAAGAAAAAAACCCAAAACCCCAACAAACAACCCCAAACAAUGCACCCUAAUCACAUUGGUAAAGCUCCAAACUACUGGAUGUCUGUGCUCCAACAGCUGCAAUUAACUCUUAAUUUUCUUUUAUUUUUUAAACUUUUAUCUACAUUCCUGCACUGUGAAAAUCAUCUUUCUCAAGAAAAAAAGAGAGAGAAGGGCUAGUUUCAGGUAGUGCAGUAAGACUCAGUAUAGCUCCUUUAAUUUCUUUACACAGUAAACAGACUUCUAUUUAUACCAACACCCUGAUCUGUACUUUCUUAUUUACAUGAAACACUUUUACAUAUAUACAUGUUAGCAAAAUACAGGGCUUCUCCCAGAACAAAAUGCAUUUCAGCUCUAUCUUUGUUACACAACUAAUACUUUUUUUUCUUAAAAAGAAAGCCCACCUCACUUGUUUCUUAUGCACAAUGAUUCCAUUUAGCUAAAUACUCAAACUGUAUUUCUUUCCUUCUCAUGUAGUACUCUCUUUAG
Athene cunicularia (burrowing owl) is the source of this 2423-nucleotide long non-coding RNA. RefSeq lists it as uncharacterized. The record is from RefSeq and is a predicted model, not a curated record. Lineage: Eukaryota; Metazoa; Chordata; Aves; Strigiformes; Strigidae. The transcript is spliced from 2 exons.